This 246-nucleotide long non-coding RNA is filed under the name Microtus ochrogaster (prairie vole). Its description in RNAcentral is "Hydatidiform mole associated and imprinted conserved region 1 (ENSMOCG00000004608.1)". It matches the Rfam family "Hydatidiform mole associated and imprinted conserved region 1". The record is from RNAcentral. Lineage: Eukaryota; Metazoa; Chordata; Mammalia; Rodentia; Cricetidae.
CUUACCAUGCACUAAGUAAGCAGCCAGAGACGCCAACCCCAGACCGAAGGGUUACUACGCAGAGGAAAAAGGAAAAUGGGGGGGGGGGCACUUCGGGGAGCAGAACCUUGCCAAGGCUCUAGAGAUCUAACAGUAGGGGCCCUGAAGCGCCUUGGAGGGUGGGGUUCGAGGAAGAUUCCUAGAAGAAGAACCUAAACUGGGACAUUUCUAUUUUUAAUUUUCACCCUAUUCCUAAAACUUCAAAGU